UGCUACUGUAAGCGUAAAGGGGUAACUGGG
Molecule: non-coding RNA, 30 nt
Filed under: Homo sapiens (human)
Lineage: Eukaryota; Metazoa; Chordata; Mammalia; Primates; Hominidae
Source: RNAcentral